Molecule: ribosomal RNA, 253 nt
Filed under: uncultured bacterium
Lineage: Bacteria
Description: partial 16S ribosomal RNA
Rfam family: Bacterial small subunit ribosomal RNA
Source: RNAcentral
UACAGAGGGUGCGAGCGUUAAUCGGAAUUACUGGGCGUAAAGCGCGCGUAGGUGGUUUUGUAAGUCAGAUGUGAAAGCCCCGGGCUCAACCUGGGAACUGCAUUUGAGACUGCAUGACUAGAGUAUGGGAGAGGGCAGUGGAAUUUCAGGUGUAGCGGUGAAAUGCGUAGAUAUCUGAAGGAACAUCAGUGGCGAAAGCGACUGCCUGGCCCAAUACUGACGCUCAUGUGCGAAAGCGUGGGGAGCAAACAGG